GCGGCAGGUAGGGCCGGGGAGCUAGCCCUUCCCUGUAACCCGAAAUGGGCUACAUGCGGGGGCCAGUAACCCGAGGAGGCGCUUGUGGAGAGGGGGCACAGCGACGGAUGAAGAGGGAUGAAAAUGCGCCCACAUGGGGCUCCGUAGGAAGCCGACCCACCUGUAGGGGUGGGCAACGGCUUCCCCACACGCCGAACCGUGUUAGGCCCGGGAGGGAGCGGCACUAAGGCGUGGCGGAGCCGCUGUGUGGAUCCGUGUUGGAUCCUCUUCUCCGUUGCCACGGCCUCCUUCUCCCUUGCCACUCCUCGGGGGCUGCCGC
RNAcentral lists this signal recognition particle RNA (319 nucleotides) under Nitrososphaerota archaeon. RNAcentral describes it as "Thaumarchaeota archaeon signal recognition particle sRNA". It matches the Rfam family "Archaeal signal recognition particle RNA". Lineage: Archaea; Thermoproteati; Nitrososphaerota. The record is from RNAcentral.